This 331-nucleotide ribosomal RNA is filed under the name uncultured bacterium. RNAcentral describes it as "bacterial SSU rRNA". It matches the Rfam family "Bacterial small subunit ribosomal RNA", at positions 264 to 586 of the family's 1533-position model. The record is from RNAcentral.
CCCACCUAGGCGACGAUCCCUAGCUGGUCUGAGAGGAUGACCAGCCACACUGGAACUGAGACACGGUCCAGACUCCUACGGGAGGCAGCAGUGGGGAAUAUUGCACAAUGGGCGCAAGCCUGAUGCAGCCAUGCCGCGUGUGUGAAGAAGGCCUUCGGGUUGUAAAGCACUUUCAGCGGGGAGGAAGGCAGUAAGGGUUAAUAACCUUGCUGAUUGACGUUACCCGCAGAAGAAGCACCGGCUAACUCCGUGCCAGCAGCCGCGGUAAUACGGAGGGUGCAAGCGUUAAUCGGAAUGACUGGGCGUAAAGCGCACGCAGGCGGUCUGUUAA